GUUACUGUGAGGAAAUUUGUAUAAAAGAACACUAUCUUUUGGGACUGAUUUACCUUUUCAAAAGGUUCUGAAUUUCUGAUGCUAUUUCUGCAAUUCUGAGC
Helianthus annuus (common sunflower) is the source of this 101-nucleotide non-coding RNA. NCBI's taxonomy places the organism in Eukaryota, Viridiplantae, Streptophyta, Magnoliopsida, Asterales, Asteraceae. The record is from Rfam.